RNAcentral lists this unclassified non-coding RNA (490 nucleotides) under Hevea brasiliensis (rubber tree). Lineage: Eukaryota; Viridiplantae; Streptophyta; Magnoliopsida; Malpighiales; Euphorbiaceae. The record is from RNAcentral.
UCACGAUUCUCUUGUCCUACCACUUAAAACAAAAACAUAAACAGAAAGUCAUUUAAUAUUCUGAAAGGACAAAGCAAAAUAGAUUGCCAAAUUACCAGAUGAAAAGAUUAUGCAUGCAUAGUUUGACUUUUCACAUAACCCUAAAGCAUCUGUGACUCUGUGUUGAAUAAGGAUUCUUUUGACAUGGGUAAGACACUUUGCCACUUCAAAUAAGGAGGAAAAUAUUUGCAUCUGAUCCCUGGACACAUACCCACAUCAGAUAUUCAUACCCAAGUCCUAGCAACAUAAAACUGAAGGGAAAAAAAAAAAAAAUCCUAAAUGGCCAUUACCAGAAAUGUUAAUCUAGCAGCUGAUAGUUAGAAGUUGGCUCAAGAAACAAGUUUAUGUUACUUUAACAGAGUUAAACAUAUCAAUAAACACUCUCAGCAGUCCUCUCUAUACCUUCCUAUCUUCAGAAGGAACAAACCUGGAGCCUUCUCUGUUUGUUCGA